This 1293-nucleotide ribosomal RNA is filed under the name Thermoproteota archaeon. RNAcentral describes it as "partial 23S ribosomal RNA". It matches the Rfam family "Archaeal large subunit ribosomal RNA", at positions 1723 to 2987 of the family's 2987-position model. The record is from RNAcentral. Lineage: Archaea; Thermoproteati; Thermoproteota.
CGAUCCCCGGUGACCGUACCGAGAACCGACACAGGUGCGCUGGCUGAGAAGGCCAAGGCCUGUCGGUCCUAACGCGGGAGAGGGAACUCGGCAAAUUGGCCCCGUAACUUCGGGAGAGGGGGUGCCUGCGUUCCUGGGCGAGAGCCUGGGUCCGCAGGUCGCAGUGACAAGGGGUGCCCGACUGUUUAACAAAAACAUAGUUCCCCGCGAGCCCGCAAGGGUGUGUACGGGGGAUGAGGCCUGGCCAAUGCCGGUACCUGAAGCCCGGGUACAACCGGGUGAAGGGCCGGUGAAAGCCGGGAGUAACUCUGACUCUCUUAAGGUAGCCAUAUGCCUUGCCGAAUAAAAAUCGGCGUGCAUGAAUGGCUUAACGAGGUGCCCGCUGUCCCCUCCCGCGGGCCGGUGAACCCGCAUCCCGGUGCACAGACCGGGACGCCCCAGCGGGGAGAGAAGACCCUGUGGAGCUUCACUGCAGCCUGGCCUUGCGGUACAGCCGGGGAUGCAGAGGGUAGGCGGGAGCGAUGUGGCGGUCCUCCUGGGGGCCGCCGAAGCGCCGAUGGAACACCGCCCUUCCUCGGCUGUGCCGCUGACCGCUCCGGCGGGACAGGGCUAGGUGGGCAGUUUGGCUGGGGUGGCACGCCCCUGCAAAGGUAUCAGGGGCGCCCAAAGGCGGGCUCAGGCGGGACAGAAACCCGCCGUAGAGGGCAAGGCCAAAAGCCCGCCUGACUGGAUCCCUAAACGCGUGGGAUCCAGGGGUGAAAGCCGGGCCUAGCGAACACUCGCGCCCUCUCGAUGAGGGCCGGGUACGACAAAAAAGUUACCCCAGGGGUAACGGAGCUGUGGCGGGCGAGAGUCCCCAUCGGCCCCGCCGCUUGCUUCCCCGACGUCGGCACUGCCCAUCCUGGGGGUGCAGCAGCCUCCAAGGGUGGGGAUGUUCGCCCAUUAAAGGGGAACGUGAGCUGGGUUCAGAACGUCGCGAGCCAGUUCGGUUUCUCCCUGCUGGGGCUGCAAGGCCGCCUGAGGGGAAGGGACCCUCAGUACGAAAGGAACAGGGUGCCGGGGCCUCUGGUGUACCGGUCGUCCGCAAGGGCGGCGCCGGGUAGCCACGCCCCAGGCCGAUAAGGGCUGAAAGCAUCUAAGCCCGAAGCGGCCCCCGAAAAUAGGCGGCCUCGCCCCUCGUGGGGUUAGGGCGCGGGUAGAAGACCCGUUUGAUGGGGGGGUGGUGUAAGGCAGGAGGGGCUUUGCCCCGGACUGCCUCAGCCUACCCCUCCCAAAGCCCGAGCGCGACCGACC